Molecule: long non-coding RNA, 396 nt
Organism: Dermacentor silvarum
Lineage: Eukaryota; Metazoa; Arthropoda; Arachnida; Ixodida; Ixodidae
Exons: 3
Source: RefSeq, a predicted model, not a curated record
AUCGCUCGACCCUUCGCCCGGUUUGUCGGCUCGCUUGCUUUUGUGCGGCAGCGGUGAUGGCCAACGUUCAGCGCGCGUCUGCUGGUUGUGCUGGGCCUCUACGCUCCUGGCAACUCCUGUAAUGAGUGGUUCUCCGGUUGCUUCUGCGGAUCGACCGGACUUUGCAAAUGCUCAGCGUUCGAGAACAACAAGAAAAUCUAGGGACAAGCUCCACCGGCCCAGCCAGUCGGCGAGAGGCAGACACACAGCAGACGCAGCGUCAAACCAUCAACAUCAUUGUGUGUGGCCGUGGCAUCCGAGCAGCUGUAAUUGGGACAAGUGUCGCCAGCAUCUCACUUUACCAUGGACAAAACGCCUUAUGUUCUCUUGGAGCGAAUCGACGCCGAUUCACAGCGG